Long non-coding RNA from Dreissena polymorpha, 976 nucleotides. RefSeq lists it as uncharacterized. The transcript is spliced from 3 exons. The record is from RefSeq and is a predicted model, not a curated record. Lineage: Eukaryota; Metazoa; Mollusca; Bivalvia; Myida; Dreissenidae.
AGUCACUAAUAGGAAUCCAAGCAAUGCAGAUGUGUAGACUGGGAAUUGUUCUGUUUGUCAUAAUAUUUUCUGUGGAGGGUUCCGCCUUGCAAAAGGAUGCCGAGACAAGAAUUGCAGAGCUUGAAAACCUGGUGACAGAAUUGAUACAACAAAUUCAGCAGUGGUAUAACAGAGCAAUAAACAGCUAGAACGCAUCGAAGCACUGGAAAAGAUUGUUCUGGCUACAUAUGGAGCAACAACCUCACACAUCCGACCCAAGAUGUCUAGCGAAGAAAACGUGUUACAAAAGUAUCCUCCUGUUCAUACUUCCAUUAAAAUGAUGAAUCCGAAACAAUGGUAGAUCCUAUAAAGGAUGACAGAAGUCGGGUGGCAAGAAACACAUCAUAACGCCAAACAGCAAGUGGGAGUGUGGCAUUCACAGCUAUUAAAGUAGAUGCACAUAGAAGCAUAGGACUCAACCAGAACAUUAUGUUCGAGAAAGUCCUUAUCAACAUAGGCGGGGGCUACCACGUACAUCAUGGCGUGUUCCAGGUGCCGAUUUCAGGGCUAUACGUGAUUUCAGCUACUCUUCAGAACAUAUGAGGAGAUCCAUCCUUUCGCAUAGGCAUUAUGCAUAACGGAAACCUGCUCGCAGCGCUGUCCGGUUCUGAUGGGUAUGAACAAAGCAGUCAAACAAUCACCUCUGAACUAAAUGCGGGCGACGAGGUGUGGCUUAGCAGCUUCAAUGAACACGCGACCGUAUAUGGAUCCGAAUAUUCCUCAUUUUCUGCUUUUCAAUUGUAGUAAUGCAUGUAUUGAUAAAUCAACAUGUACAACGGCAAAUGCUUCACGACACUAAUUGAAUACUUUAACGAAAAUAUUAAUUGACGGAAGUUGAUAAGCUGAUUUAUCAUUGGAACAUUUAAAAUACACAACUAUAAUAUCAAUAACAUUUCUAAAACAUGGAUUUGCACGAUUUGAACAAUUGCACGUACGU